CAGACCUCUAAUCGGAAAAGACUACCCGCUGAGUUUAAGCAUAUCAAUAAACGGGAGGAAAA
This 62-nucleotide ribosomal RNA is filed under the name Amblystegium serpens. RNAcentral describes it as "partial 26S ribosomal RNA". Lineage: Eukaryota; Viridiplantae; Streptophyta; Bryopsida; Hypnales; Amblystegiaceae. The record is from RNAcentral.